RNAcentral lists this ribosomal RNA (731 nucleotides) under Pseudomonas sp. CVS-Ps. RNAcentral describes it as "bacterial SSU rRNA". It matches the Rfam family "Bacterial small subunit ribosomal RNA", at positions 100 to 826 of the family's 1533-position model. Lineage: Bacteria; Pseudomonadati; Pseudomonadota; Gammaproteobacteria; Pseudomonadales; Pseudomonadaceae. The record is from RNAcentral.
GGACGGGUGAGUAAUGCCUAGGAAUCUGCCUGGUAGUGGGGGACAACGUUUCGAAAGGAACGCUAAUACCGCAUACGUCCUACGGGAGAAAGCAGGGGACCUUCGGGCCUUGCGCUAUCAGAUGAGCCUAGGUCGGAUUAGCUUGUUGGUGAGGUAAUGGCUCACCCAGGCGACGAUCCGUAACUGGUCUGAGAGGAUGAUCAUUCACACUGGAACUGAAACACGGUCCAGACUCCUACGGGAGGCAGCAGUGGGGAAUAUUGGACAAUGGGCGAAAGCCUGAUCCAGCCAUGCCGCGUGUGUGAAGAAGGUCUUCGGAUUGUAAAGCACUUUAAGUUGGGAGGAAGGGCAGUAAGAUAAUACCUUGCUGUUUUGACGUUACCGACAGAAUAAGCACCGGCUAACUCUGUGCCAGCAGCCGCGGUAAUACAGAGGGUGCAAGCGUUAAUCGGAAUUACUGGGCGUAAAGCGCGCGUACGUGGUUCGUUAAGUUGGAUGUGAAAGCCCCGGGCUCAACCUGAGAACUGCAUCCAAAACUGGCAAGCUAGAGUACGGUAGAGGGUGGUGGAAUUUCCUGUGUAGCGGUGAAAUGCAUAGAUAUAGAGAAGGAACACCAGUGGCGAAGGCGACCACCUGCACUGAUACUGACACUGAUGUGCGAAAGCGUGGGGAGCAAACAAGAUUAGAUACCCUGGUAGUCCACGCCACACACGAUGUCAACUACCCGUUGG